RNAcentral lists this ribosomal RNA (495 nucleotides) under uncultured bacterium. RNAcentral's name for it is "partial 16S ribosomal RNA". It matches the Rfam family "Bacterial small subunit ribosomal RNA", at positions 28 to 507 of the family's 1533-position model. The record is from RNAcentral.
GACGAACGCUGGCGGCGUGCCUAAUACAUGCAAGUAGAACGCUGAAGGAGGAGCUUGCUUCUCUGGAUGAGUUGCGAACGGGUGAGUAACGCGUAGGUAACCUGCCUGGUAGCGGGGGAUAACUAUUGGAAACGAUAGCUAAUACCGCAUAAUAGUAGAUGUUGCAUGACAUUUGCUUAAAAGGUGCAAUUGCAUCACUACCAGAUGGACCUGCGUUGUAUUAGCUAGUUGGUGGGGUAACGGCUCACCAAGGCGACGAUACAUAGCCGACCUGAGAGGGGGGUCGGCCACACUGGGACUGAGACACGGCCCAGACUCCUACGGGAAGCAGCAGUAGGGAAUCUUCGGCAAUGGACGGAAGUCUGACCGAGCAACGCCGCGGGAGGGAAGAAGGUUUUCGGAUCGUAAAGCUCUGUUGUAAGGGAAGAACGAGUGUGAGAGUGGAAAGUUCACACUGUGACGGUAUCUUACCAGAAAGGGACGGCUAACUACGUG